RNAcentral lists this ribosomal RNA (403 nucleotides) under uncultured Clostridium sp. RNAcentral's name for it is "bacterial SSU rRNA". It matches the Rfam family "Bacterial small subunit ribosomal RNA", at positions 356 to 774 of the family's 1533-position model. Lineage: Bacteria; Bacillati; Bacillota; Clostridia; Eubacteriales; Clostridiaceae. The record is from RNAcentral.
GGGGAAUAUUGCACAAUGGGGGAAACCCUGAUGCAGCAACGCCGCGUGAAGGAUGAAGGUUUUCGGAUUGUAAACUUCUUUAGUCAGGGACGAAUAAAUGACGGUACCUGAAGAAUAAGCCCCGGCUAACUACGUGCCAGCAGCCGCGGUAAUACGUAGGGGGCGAGCGUUGCCCGGAAUUACUGGGCGUAAAGGGAACGUAGGUGGCUCUUAAAGUCAGAUGUGAAAUCCCAGGGCUUAACUCUGGAGCUGCAUCUGAAACUAUGUUUCUUGAGUGUCGGAGAGGAAAGCGGAAUUCCUAGUGUAGCGGUGAAAUGCGUAGAUAUUAGGAGGAACACCAGUGGCGAAGGCGGCUUUCUGGACGAUAACUGACGCUGAGGCGCGAAAGCGUGGGGAGCAAACA